UACGUAGGUGGCAAGAGUUGUCCGGAAUUACUGGGUGUAAAGGGCGAGUAGGCAGGACUGCUAGUCAGAUGUGAAAUUCCCAGGCUCAACCUGGGGGCUGCAUCUGAAACUGUGGUUCUUGAGUGCUGGAGAGGAAAGCGGAAUUCCUAGUGUAGCGGUGAAAUGCGUAGAUAUUAGGAGGAACACCAGUGGCGAAGGCGGCUUUCUGGACAGUUACUGACGCUGAGGUGCGAACUCGUGGUGAGAAAACAGG
This 253-nucleotide ribosomal RNA is filed under the name uncultured bacterium. RNAcentral's name for it is "partial 16S ribosomal RNA". It matches the Rfam family "Bacterial small subunit ribosomal RNA", at positions 524 to 776 of the family's 1533-position model. The record is from RNAcentral.